Vollenhovia emeryi is the source of this 579-nucleotide long non-coding RNA. RefSeq lists it as uncharacterized. The record is from RefSeq and is a predicted model, not a curated record. NCBI's taxonomy places the organism in Eukaryota, Metazoa, Arthropoda, Insecta, Hymenoptera, Formicidae. The transcript has 3 exons.
CACUGUUCAUUUCGCGGAACGAGAAACCGUAAUCCGGUAAAGCCACCCGGUGUAUUACCUCGUACGACAAUUCUUCAGGAUAAAAAAGCAUCUAAUCUCCGAGGUUCGAUCCUGCGAAUGAAUCGAAAUAAAACUAGACUAGCGAGUAACGCGGCAUCGUGAGAAGGGCAGACUCGAUCUCUCGACCCAGCAGCAGGCUGAGGUAGGUCAGUGAACGCGACUGCAGCAGCCAGCCAGUCAGCCAGCUCCAACGGGAACACCCUCCCGUCCGGGGUAGCACCCUCUCGCCCGCGACUUGUUCGCUCAAUAUCUGGUGAAUGCGUUGCGGAGGCGAGAGGAAACCGAACUGGAAAGAGAGAGUGAAGGAGAGAAACGGAGGGGCAAGGUACCAGGGGGAGAGGGCGGACAGGUAAACUGCGGGAAGAAGAAGAAGGGGGUGAUGGUGUUUACAUUACAGCCACGAAGAAACGGAAAGGGAUCUCUCGCACCUCUGUAUAUCUGCAUUCACACUCGUCUGGUCCGUUCUUGCACUCACCGUUCUCAAUGUUGAGCUCUGCCGCUGAAGCUCUGUAAGAGGGC